RNAcentral lists this ribosomal RNA (253 nucleotides) under uncultured bacterium. RNAcentral's name for it is "partial 16S ribosomal RNA". It matches the Rfam family "Bacterial small subunit ribosomal RNA", at positions 524 to 776 of the family's 1533-position model. The record is from RNAcentral.
UACGAAGGGGGCUAGCGUUGUUCGGAAUCACUGGGCGUAAAGCGCACGUAGGCGGCUUGUUAAGUCAGAGGUGAAAGCAUGGAGCUUAACUCCAGAACUGCCUUUGAUACUGGCAAGCUCGAGUAUGGGAGAGGUUGGUGGAAUUCCGAGUGUAGAGGUGAAAUUCGUAGAUAUUCGGAAGAACACCGGUGGCGAAGGCGGCUAACUGGGCCAUUACUGACGCUGAGGUGCGAAAGCGUGGGGAGCAAACAGG